GUAAUGAACGGAUUGCAGAACACAGGCAGUUAUUUUCAAGAUCGAGGACGAGGAGCUCCAGCAACAACAGAAUCGGACCCAACACAACAACAGCCAUCACAGCAGGCACAGCCACAGCAUCAAGAACAUCAUCACCACCACGUUCAGUAACAACAGUAGGCCAAGGCGAAGCAUUUAACCCCUUGCCAUUUAACCCCUCACUUAGACCACGGAAUAGGAAUAGAAGGCGCCGUUUCAGUCCAUACACGUUUGAUCGCACUGAAACACAAAAAACUUUUGCUAAAACUAUCGUUGUGAUCCCCGAGAGAAAUGUUAACACUGUACCGACAGGAGCUCAGCGAGCGCAGCUCAUCAACCAGGGCUUAUGGAAAGUAAAAGUUGCUGUACCUUCAGGUGGAUCACUUCUAAGCAGAUAUGCAACAAUGUAAACACAAUUCAUGGAAAACCGAAUGGCGUAUUGUCAUGAAACUCACAGGAGUGAUCAAUCUUACUAAUAUACAGAUCAAAUUCAAAAAUCAACUUGAUCGGUUCAGUUUUGAUGAAGUUAUGCCUUGUUUUGAAUGUAAGUGCUUUUUCCUCAGAUUCAUUUCAUAGGCAUGUUUACAGUGUCAUUAGUUAAAGAAUAAGAUACGUAAAACCCUUUGUUUGACAUUUUUGGCAUCUUUACAAUAUUGUUAGUUGAUUAUAUAAAAAUGGUGUAAAACCUGUUGUGAUCUAUUGUAUAAAUAAGUGUCAUUGCAGUCUGUCAGAUUCAAUCGAUCACUAUGUUUAGAGUUUCAGAA
Molecule: long non-coding RNA, 782 nt
Organism: Lingula anatina
Lineage: Eukaryota; Metazoa; Brachiopoda; Lingulata; Lingulida; Lingulidae
Source: RefSeq, a predicted model, not a curated record